This is a long non-coding RNA of Neofelis nebulosa (Clouded leopard), 1971 nucleotides long. RefSeq lists it as uncharacterized. The record is from RefSeq and is a predicted model, not a curated record. NCBI's taxonomy places the organism in Eukaryota, Metazoa, Chordata, Mammalia, Carnivora, Felidae. The transcript has 2 exons.
UCCUGCGAUGCUGUGCCUCUCCCCUGAGGGCAGGUCUGCUGUGUGCAGUGAGCCCUGACCAGAGAACUAAGACAGAGGGUGAGCCUUGACCGGAGGACUGAGACAGGAGGUGAGCGCUGACCAGGGAACUGAGACGGGAGGUGAGCGCUGACUGCUGAAACAUUUUCAAAAAUAUUUACUGUAAAAAUUCCGGUUUUUAAAAUUUAGCAUCAUUGUGCUGAUUGACAGCUUUCUCCCUUCCUACCCCAGAUAAAAUUGCUUUUCCAUGGUUUUUUUCGCCAUAGCACGUGAUCGGCCAUUCUGUCUUCAGCACUGUGUUGGCAUUGGUGUUGUUUUAUGCUGCCAUGCUGUACUAGAAGCAUACUUUUUUUUUAAUGAAUAUUUAAUGAAUAUAAUUUAUUGUCAAAUUGGCUUACAUACAACACCCAGUGCUCAUCCCAAUAAGUGCCCUCCUCAGUGCCCAUCACCCAUUUUCCCUCUCUCCUACCCCCCCCACCCACCCUUAGUUUCUUCUCUGUAUUUAGUAGUCUCUUGUGGUUUGCCUCCCUCCCUCUCUGUUUGUACCUAUUUUAUAUUUUCCCCUUCCCUUCCCCCAUGGUCUGUUCAGUUUCUCAAGAUCCCCAUAUGAGUGAAAACAUGAUAAUCUAUCCUUCUCUGACUGAUGUAUUUCACUCAGCAUAAUACCUUCCAGUUCCAUCCACGUUGCUGCAAAUGGCAUGAUUUCAUUCUUUCUUAUUGCCAAGGAGUAUUCCUUGUAUAUAUAAACCGCAUCCUCUUUAUCCAUUCCUCAGUUGAUGGACAUUUAGGCUCUUUCUAUAGUUUGGCUAUUGUUGAAAGUGCUGCUAUAAACAUUGGGGUACAAGUGCCCCUAUGCAUCAGCACUCCUGUAUCCCUCGGGUAAAUUCCUAGCAGUGCUACUGCUGGGUCAUAGGGUAGAUCUAUUUUUAAUUUUUUCCGGAACCUCCACACAGUUUUCCAGAGCGGCUGCACCAGUUUGCAUUCCCAUCAACAGUGCAAGAGGGUUCCCGUUUCUCCACAUCCUUGCCAGAAUCUAUAGUCUCCUGACUUGUUCAUUUUAGCCACUCUGACCAGUGUGAGGUGGUAUCCCAGUGUGGCUUUGAUUUAUAUUUCCCUGAAGAUGAAUGACGUUGAGCAUUGUUUCAUGUGUCCGUUGGCCAUGUGGAUGUCUUCAUUGGAAAAGUGUCUAUUCUGGUCUUCCGCCCAUUUCUUCACUGGAUUAUUUGUUUUUUGGGUGUGGAGUUUGGUGAGUUCUUUAUAGAUUUUGGAUACUAGCCAUUUAUCCAAUAUGUCAUUUGCAGAUAUCUUUUCCCAUUCCAUGGUUGCCUUUUAGUUUUGUUGAUUGUUUCCUUUCCAGUGCAGAAGCUUUUUAUCUUGGUGAGGUCCCGAUAGUUCAUUUUUGCUUUUAAUCUCCUUGCCUUUGGAAGUGUCAAGUAAGUAAGAAAUUGCUCCUGCUUAGGUCAAAGAGGUCGUUGCCUGCUUUCUCCUCUAGGGUUUUGAUGGUUUCCUGUCUCACAUUUAGGUCUUUCAUCCAUUUUAUUUUCGUGUAUGGUAUAAGAAAGUGGUCUAGUUUCAUUCUUCUGCAUGUUGCUGUCCAGUUCUCCCAGCACCAUUUGCUGAAGAGACUAUCUUUUUUCCAUUGGAUACUCUUUCCUGCUUUGCCAAAUAUUUGUUGGGCAUACGUUUAUGGGUCCAGUUCUGGGUUCUCUAUUCUAUUCCACUGGUCUAUGUGUCUGUUUUCGUGCCAGUAGCAUACUGUCUUGAUGAUGGCAGCUUUAAAGAAAAAAUAAAAAUUGACCAGGCAGAGAAACUCUUUGGCUUAAUCCAGAGAGAGAGAAGGGAAAAUAAAGAAGGAAGUGGGGGAAAAGAAAAGAAAAUAAAGUUAUCCAGACAGAGAAACUAUACAGCUUAAUCCAGAGAGAGAGAAUGGAGAAUUAAGAAGGAGGUGUGGAA